RNAcentral lists this small RNA (574 nucleotides) under Pan troglodytes (chimpanzee). RNAcentral describes it as "processed transcript". The record is from RNAcentral. Lineage: Eukaryota; Metazoa; Chordata; Mammalia; Primates; Hominidae.
AAAGCGCCGCCUGAAAGCCAGGUUUGGAAGGCUGUGCGUGUGUAUGGGAGAUAAGCGAUGCAAAAUUGGGGUGAUCCAUAAUUAAUGGCUGAAAGCGAAGCUGCUUUUUUCUUUUUUCCCGACCCUCAUCUUAUUCUGGAGCUAUGCCUGUUCCAGACCAGCCUUCAUCAGCCUCAGAGAAGACGAGUUCCCUGAGCCCUGGCUUAAACACCUCCAACGGGGAUGGCUCUGAAACAGAAACCACCUCUGCUAUCCUCGCCUCAGUCAAAGAACAGGAAUUACAGUUUGAAAGGCUGACCCGAGAGCUGGAGGCUGAACGGCAGAUCGUAGCCAGCCAGCUGGAGCGAUGCAAGCUUGGAUCCGAGACUGGCAGCAUGAGCAGCAUGAGUUCAGCAGAAGAGCAGUUUCAGUGGCAGUCACAAGAUGGUCAAAAAGAUAUCGAAGAUGAGCUUACAACAGGUCUCGAGCUGGUGGACUCCUGUAUUAGGUCACUACAGGAAUCAGGAAUACUUGACCCACAGGAUUAUUCUACAGGUGAAACUGGGUCCCGAGCCUCAUACAGCAGCCAGCAUGG